Non-coding RNA from Gossypium raimondii (Peruvian cotton), 87 nucleotides. The record is from Rfam. NCBI's taxonomy places the organism in Eukaryota, Viridiplantae, Streptophyta, Magnoliopsida, Malvales, Malvaceae.
UACGUCAGCUCGCUUUGCUGAUGUGGACACAAAUUGCGCAUUCGUGGACGCGAUUUGUUGCCAUGUCAGCAAAGCGUGCUGACGUGG